This 654-nucleotide long non-coding RNA is filed under the name Setaria viridis. RNAcentral's name for it is "long non-coding RNA (SVIR_LNC002613)". Lineage: Eukaryota; Viridiplantae; Streptophyta; Magnoliopsida; Poales; Poaceae. The record is from RNAcentral.
AGCCGAGAUCACAGCACCAUCCGUACAUCCACGGUAAAAUGCGGAGUCAGAGAUGGACCAGAACGGGGUCGCGCGCUAAAACCGGAACCCCGUCCCGCUCCUCCUCGACAACGACUACCACUACCAGUCUACUACUACUAUGUACACGCGGCGCCGGCGAGUUCCUCGUCCCCGCGGCGGCGGCCUACUGGCCCUAGGCGGAGCGCGCGAGACGGGACGCGAUGGCGGAGUGGUACAUGGCGUCGUGGAACGACUCCGUCUGCGCCAUCCGCGCCCGCAGCUCGCGGGCCUUCUCCUCCGUCAGCCCCCCCACGAACUGCCUCCGGGCCGCCGCCGCGCCGUCCUGCGCCACCGCCACCACCGGCGCCGGGGCCUCCAGGUAGUCGGCCUUCCCCGACCACCCCACCAGCGGCGCCCACCACUUGCCGCCGCCCUCCGCCGACCCGGCGGCCGCGCGGACCACCCCGGCUCCUGCCGCGGCGCCGCGGGGCCGGAAGACGGCUGCGCCACCCGCCGGGGUGGCGGGGAACGAGACGGCGUGUGAGGACGGUGCCAUCGCCAUUGGAUCUGUGUUGGUUGUUUCUCUUGCCCUGACCGGGUGCAGUGCAGUUGCUUGAUUGCUUUUUGCUUGAAGGGAAACGAGGAUGGAUGGAU